AGAGGGUGGAGGCAGGAACAUGGUGAGAGGCCAAGUCAGGGUCCUACUUGCUGAUGUGACAACGGGGGGCACAAGUGGAGCCCUCAUGGAUUCACUUGGGCAAUCAGCAACAUAAAAGAUGGGCGGGAAGCAUAGCCACGAUCAACUCACACUGCAGGGAGUCAUGAAUAUCACCUCCGUCUUUGACAUAUGAGGGGAGAAAUGCUCAGACCACAAAAGUGUCCUCCAACCCAGGGUCCAGGAUGGAAGAAUAAAACACUGGGCAAUUGGAUCAAGAUAUUUUGGUAUGAACUGGAUGAGUCCAUCAAGGCAGAGUUAUUUCUCUUCAUAGAAUCUGGUACUAACCUUUCAUUGGUCACACUCACCUGCUGUUCAUCUAGCGAGACCUUGUUAGUCCUAGCCCUGUCUGUCAUUCAUGUAGAUCCUAUUAUUUAAUUCAUCACACUGUAUUUUACCGUGUGCUGCAUGUCUGUCCCUUGUACAGGAUUACUAAUUUCUUGAGAAAAUGUGAAUUGUCUAGGGGUAUAUAGUAGAAACUCGAAACUGUUGUGGGAAGAGAAAAUGUUCCUAGAGAAAAUUUCUGAGAAAAGAUCUCCACAUGGG
RNAcentral lists this long non-coding RNA (603 nucleotides) under Equus asinus (donkey). Its description in RNAcentral is "lncRNA (ENSEASG00005035539.1)". Lineage: Eukaryota; Metazoa; Chordata; Mammalia; Perissodactyla; Equidae. The record is from RNAcentral.